This 1773-nucleotide unclassified non-coding RNA is filed under the name Hevea brasiliensis (rubber tree). The record is from RNAcentral. Lineage: Eukaryota; Viridiplantae; Streptophyta; Magnoliopsida; Malpighiales; Euphorbiaceae.
AAAAAAAAAAAAAAAAAACCCAGUACAGGUAAUCAGGAUAACCACAAAAUGCAAAAGGUGGGUGCCACUCCGACGAUGAAGGUGGCUUUUCCUUCCUGAAAAGCGAUACAGGUGAAGAAGAAUUAAUUGGAGUUGCUUAGCAAUAUUCAACGGGGGCUAAAAAGUGUAUUUUCCUUUUAUUCCAGGACACCCAUGUAGCUUAGAAAUCCCUCAGAAUGGACUAAAGCUUUACACAUUUGGUGGUGGCCAAAUCUUUGUAAAUAGUUCCUCAACUCGCCUUGCUUGAUCAAUGAGACCAUCCAGACCAGCAGCCAGACGGUCAAUCGCUGCUGGCCCCAUAGGUAGUGCAAGACUUAAUUGGUCCCAUUUUGCUACCUCUUCUUCACUGAAAUUGUAGGCAGCAGCAGAUUGCGGUGAUAACUUCUGAACAAAAGAGUACUUCUCAUCAGGAGUAGUGGUGGACUCUGAAAGGGAUUGCAAUACCUUCAAUGGUGCAAUUAUAUAGUCAACCCUGGAAGAGUAGAACAAAAAAAACAUAGGUAUUAAAUGUUAAUUUUUGUGUUCAGCUGUAAAAAAUCCUAGCUGAAUACAAGUAAAAUAUUACCCCAAAAGUCAUAUUACCCCAAAAGACUGAAUAAAUCUUGUCUGUUCCGAACUGCUGCUGCCAUCAACUUUGAUUUAUGCCCAUAUUUGUGGAUCUAAUUAUACGCUUUUGUCACCAAAGACAAACCAGGAUCUUCCCCUCUUUUCAGAACAGCAUCUAUCUCAGGGUCACCGGAAUGGCUGCGUGCCCAGUCCCUGAUGCGCCCAACAAAAAUCUGUAUUACAGAAGCACCAGCUUGGGCCGCAGCUGCAGCUUGAGCAAAGCUGUAAACAAAAGUCAAAUGCGUCUGUAUGCCUUGAGAUUCCAGCUAUCUCGAGGCCUCUAUUCCUUGCCAAGUUGAAGGAAUUUUGAAUAACAAACGCUCUGGAGGAACAUUAAUUUCAUUGUACAACUUCAGUAAGGAAUGCACCUUCCCAAUAAUGCCAUGAGUGUCAUAAGCCAACCGCGCAUCAACUUCAGUUGAAACUCGGCCAGGCACUAAUUUCACCAAAUCGCCUCCAACAUUAACUAAAGCCUUGUUUGCGAAAGAAGACAAUCUCAAUUCUGGAUUUUCCAACGCAGUACACCCUGAAUCUGCCAAAAGCCAUAUCCACAGCAUUUCUGAAUAUCGUGUCAGGGAGAGUCAAUAUACCCAAAAGAAGAGAAGAGCUAACAGUAGCAGCAGUUGAAGGAAACCUGCAUUAUAAACAAUCACCACCAAAAAAAAAAAAAAUUAAAAAUGAGAAUUGUAACAACUAAAUUAUGUACACAAUUGUCAACCAAUCAAACAGAAUACGAUGAUCGAAACUUUCAAUUUCCCGUUGAGCUAGAUCAAUUUAAAGGGAAUAGGAGAUAUUCCACUUCUCGAAAUCAUCGAAGAUUACAGUGUCAGGAACGAUCUCACUGAAGCUAGAGACAGCAUCCAAUUCAGUGCUAGGACCAGUAUCUAGAGAAGAAGAGAAGCCGGUAGAAGCACGAAUUUGAGGGGAAAAUGGUUGGAACUUAAAGAAGACUGCAUUUGAAGUUCCCCAUUCACCAGGCAGCCUCAAGUUUCCUCCAUUCUGAAGAGACAAUAAAUAAGAAUGAAUAGUGCAGUUUUGAGCUAUAGAGUGAAUCGGAGAAUAGAGAUUUAUAGACAGAGGAUUUGACAGACAGGUGCUCUCUUCUCUUAUGGAGCCAUCUGGGCUUUU